This 498-nucleotide ribosomal RNA is filed under the name uncultured bacterium. RNAcentral's name for it is "partial 16S ribosomal RNA". It matches the Rfam family "Bacterial small subunit ribosomal RNA", at positions 30 to 523 of the family's 1533-position model. The record is from RNAcentral.
AUUGAACGCUGGCGGCAUGCCUUACACAUGCAAGUCGAACGGUAACAGAUCUUCGGAUGCUGACGAGUGGCGAACGGGUGAGUAAUACAUCGGAACGUGCCCGAUCGUGGGGGAUAACGAAGCGAAAGCUUUGCUAAUACCGCAUACGAUCUACGGAUGAAAGCAGGGGACCGCAAGGCCUUGCGCGAACGGAGCGGCCGAUGGCAGAUUAGGUAGUUGGUGGGAUAAAAGCUUACCAAGCCGACGAUCUGUAGCUGGUCUGAGAGGACGACCAGCCAAACUGGGACUGAGACACGGCCCAGACUCCUACGGGAGGCAGCAGUGGGGAAUUUUGGACAAUGGGCGAAAGCCUGAUCCAGCCAUGCCGCGUGCAGGAUGAAGGCCUUCGGGUUGUAAACUGCUUUUGUACGGAACGAAAAGACUCUGGUUAAUACCUGGGGUCCAUGACGGUACCGUAAGAAUAAGCACCGGCUAACUACGUGCCAGCCGCCGCCGUAA